Molecule: ribosomal RNA, 423 nt
Filed under: uncultured Sphingomonas sp.
Lineage: Bacteria; Pseudomonadati; Pseudomonadota; Alphaproteobacteria; Sphingomonadales; Sphingomonadaceae
Description: bacterial SSU rRNA
Rfam family: Bacterial small subunit ribosomal RNA
Source: RNAcentral
GCAAGUCGAACGAGAUCCUUCGGGGUCUAGUGGCGAACGGGUGCGUAACGCGUGGGAAUCUGCCCUUUGGUUCGGAAUAACAGUUGGAAACGACUGCUAAAACCGGAUGAUGACGAAAGUCCAAAGAUUUAUCGCCAAGGGAUGAGCCCGCGUAGGAUUAGGUAGUUGGUGGGGUAAAGGCUCACCAAGGCGACGAUCCUUAGCUGGUCUGAGAGGAUGAUCAGCCACACUGGGACUGAGACACGGCCCAGACUCCUACGGGAGGCAGCAGUGGGGAAUAUUGGACAAUGGGCGAAAGCCUGAUCCAGCAAUGCCGCGUGAGUGAUGAAGGCCUUAGGUUUGUAAAGCUCUUUUACCCGGGAAGAUAAUGACAGUACCGGGAGAAUAAGCUCCGGCUAACUCCGUGCCAGCAGCCGCGGUAAU